RNAcentral lists this long non-coding RNA (325 nucleotides) under Capra hircus (goat). RNAcentral's name for it is "lncRNA (ENSCHIG00000000641.1)". The record is from RNAcentral. Lineage: Eukaryota; Metazoa; Chordata; Mammalia; Artiodactyla; Bovidae.
CAGAAGGGGCCUAAGAGAUCGUCUGUACUUCACAAGUGAGGAUGAGGUCCAGUGGACCCCACGCUCAUCUUGCCCUACCUUCCUGCCAAUGCCUGCUCCCAGACCAAACGAGAUGAGACGGCACCAACAAGCAAUCCAAGUCCACAGCUGACAAAACAACCCACGGCACACGUCCUGUGCCCAGAUGGAUGGGGACCGGGGGUCAACUGUGUCAUCUGUCCCCAUGAAGAGAGCAUGUUAUUACGAUUCUUUUCCAUUACAGGUUAUUACAAGAUGGACUUCCCUGGUGGCUCAGACGGUAACGCGUCUGUCUACAAUGCGGGAG